RNAcentral lists this RNase P RNA (349 nucleotides) under Thiothrix sp. Its description in RNAcentral is "RNase P RNA component class A". It matches the Rfam family "Bacterial RNase P class A". Rfam says of the family: Ribonuclease P (RNase P) is a ubiquitous endoribonuclease, found in archaea, bacteria and eukarya as well as chloroplasts and mitochondria. The record is from RNAcentral. Lineage: Bacteria; Pseudomonadati; Pseudomonadota; Gammaproteobacteria; Thiotrichales; Thiotrichaceae.
GGAGUCAGCCAGGCAAUCGCGCUUGUUCGCAAGCGAGGAAAGUCCGGGCUUCAAUGGGCAGGGUGCCAGGUAACGCCUGGGCGGUGUGAGCCGACGGACAGUGCAACAGAGAAUAGACCGCCGAUGGCCCGCAAGGGAACAGGUAAGGGUGAAACGGUGCGGUAAGAGCGCACCGCGCAACUGGUAACAGUUUGUGGCACGGUAAACCCCACCCGAAGCAAGGCCAAAUAGGGGUGCAUUAGGUGUGGCCCGCACUGCACCCGGGUAGGCCGCUUGAGGGGUUUGGCGACAAACCUCCCAGAUGAAUGAUUGUCCGCGACAGAACCCGGCUUAUCGGCUGACUCCUUAU